Molecule: microRNA precursor, 103 nt
Filed under: Marmota monax (woodchuck)
Lineage: Eukaryota; Metazoa; Chordata; Mammalia; Rodentia; Sciuridae
Source: RNAcentral
GGUGGGAUUGCUGGUUCAUAUGGUAACUUUAUGUUUUAACUUUUUGAGUAACUGCCAAAUUAUUUUCCAUAGCCACUGAGCCAUUUACAUUCCCAUUGGCAAC